Molecule: transfer RNA, 77 nt
Filed under: Herbiconiux daphne
Lineage: Bacteria; Bacillati; Actinomycetota; Actinomycetes; Micrococcales; Microbacteriaceae
Description: tRNA-Pro
Rfam family: tRNA
About the family: Transfer RNA (tRNA) molecules are approximately 80 nucleotides in length. Their secondary structure includes four short double-helical elements and three loops (D, anti-codon, and T loops).
Source: RNAcentral
CGGAGUAUAGCUCAGUUUGGUAGAGCACCUGGUUUGGGACCAGGGGGUCGUAGGUUCGAAUCCUGCUACUCCGACCA